RNAcentral lists this ribosomal RNA (764 nucleotides) under uncultured Glomeromycotina. RNAcentral's name for it is "SSU rRNA". It matches the Rfam family "Eukaryotic small subunit ribosomal RNA", at positions 332 to 1097 of the family's 1831-position model. The record is from RNAcentral. Lineage: Eukaryota; Fungi; Glomeromycota.
GAUAGAGGCCUACCAUGGUGGUAACGGGUAACGGGGUGUUAGGGCACGACACCGGAGAGGGAGCCUGAGAAACGGCUACCACAUCCAGGGAUGGCAGCAGGCGCGCAAAUUACCCAAUCCCGACACGGGGAGGUAGUGACAAUAAAUAACAAUACGGGGUUCUUUAGGAUCUCGUAAUUGGAAUGAGUACAAUUUAAAUCUCUUAACGAGGAACAAUUGGAGGGCAAGUCUGGUGCCAGCAGCCGCGGUAAUUCCAGCUCCAAUAGCGUAUAUUAAAGUUGUUGCAGUUAAAAAGCUCGUAGUUGAAUUUCGGGGUUAGUAGGUUGGUCAUGCCUCUGGUAUGUACUGGUCUCACUGAUUCCUCCUUCCUGAUGAGCCGUAAUGCCAUUAAUUUGGUGUUGCGGGGAAUUUGGACUGUUACUUUGAAAAAAUUAGAGUGUUUAAAGCAAGCUAACGCUUGAAUACAUUAGCAUGGAAUAAUGAAAUAGGACGUUCGAUCCUAUUUUGUUGGUUUCUAGGAUUGACGUAAUGAUUAAUAGGGAUAGUUGGGGGCAUUAGUAUUCAAUUGUCAGAGGUGAAAUUCUUGGAUUUAUUGAAGACUAACUACUGCGAAAGCAUUUGCCAAGGAUGUUUUCAUUAAUCAAGAACGAAAGUUAGGGGAUCGAAGACGAUCAGAUACCGUCGUAGUCUUAACCAUAAACUAUGCCGACUAGGGAUCGGAUGAUGUUAAUUUUUUAAUGACUCAUUCGGCGCCUUACGGGAAC